Long non-coding RNA from Mastomys coucha (southern multimammate mouse), 594 nucleotides. RefSeq lists it as uncharacterized. The record is from RefSeq and is a predicted model, not a curated record. The transcript is spliced from 3 exons. NCBI's taxonomy places the organism in Eukaryota, Metazoa, Chordata, Mammalia, Rodentia, Muridae.
GGGACAGCUGGAGUUGGCCUGAGCUAAGGCCAGGGCAGUCUGGUUCUCAGGCUCUUGGACAAUCACGUGCUGCUGAGAGCCACAGAAGAGCUGAAAAUGAAAGAACCUACGUCCAUUUCCAUUACCCUCAGCAUAUUCACAGCCAUCUGUAAUGUCAACAUCAAGGGAUCUGAUGGCCUUAUCUGCCAUCCUUGGGCAAAUUGUUCACAGAUUGUUCAUACAAGUAUGAAGGCAAAACAUCGAAACAAAUAAAAUAAAAUAAAAAUAACUACAAGGAUGGAAAUGGAGAGAAGCCUGAGGAAAAGAAGGUCCAGCAACAGGCCCAAAGUGGGAUCCAGCUCAAGGAGAGGUCCCAAGAUCUGACACUAUUACCGAGUCUAUAGAGUAUUCACAAAAAGGGACCUAUCCUGCCCAAAAUCUGUAAGACCCAACAAGCAGUUGAAAGAGUCAGAGGCAGAUAUUUGCACCCAAUCAGUGGAUGGAAGCAGUUGACCCCUGUUGCUGAAUUAGGGGAAUGUUGAAAGAAGCUGAGGAGAAGGGCGAUCCUGUAGGAGGACCAGCAGUCUCAAUUAACCUGGAACCCCGAGAUCUCUC